CGGGGAGGUUUUAGUCGGUAGGCGCCGGACCGAACUUCGGCUCGGGGCGGCGAAUCCGACACUGCCCGGGAUGGUUCCCCGGGCAUCUUUUGAAGAUUUCCUCCUCG
This is a non-coding RNA of Trachymyrmex cornetzi, 107 nucleotides long. NCBI's taxonomy places the organism in Eukaryota, Metazoa, Arthropoda, Insecta, Hymenoptera, Formicidae. The record is from Rfam.